This 250-nucleotide ribosomal RNA is filed under the name uncultured bacterium. RNAcentral describes it as "partial 16S ribosomal RNA". It matches the Rfam family "Bacterial small subunit ribosomal RNA", at positions 524 to 774 of the family's 1533-position model. The record is from RNAcentral.
UACGUAGGGGGCAAGCGUUAUCCGGAAUCACUGGGCGUAAAGGGUGCGUAGGCGGCCUGACAAGUCAGAGGUGAAAGGCUACGGCUUAACCGUAGUAAGCCUUUGAAACUGUUGGGCUUGAGUGCAGGAGAGGGCAAUGGAAUUCCAUGUGUAGCGGUAAAAUGCGUAGAUAUAUGGAGGAACACCAGUGGCGAAGGCGACUUACUGGACUGUAACUGACGCUGAGGCACGAAAGCGUGGGGAGCAAACA